This 501-nucleotide unclassified non-coding RNA is filed under the name Timmiella crassinervis. Its description in RNAcentral is "partial contains tRNA-Leu, trnL-trnF intergenic spacer, and tRNA-Phe". The stretch from base 10 to 299 matches the Rfam family "Group I catalytic intron". From Rfam's summary of the family: Group I catalytic introns are large self-splicing ribozymes. They catalyse their own excision from mRNA, tRNA and rRNA precursors in a wide range of organisms. The core secondary structure consists of 9 paired regions (P1-P9). The record is from RNAcentral. Lineage: Eukaryota; Viridiplantae; Streptophyta; Bryopsida; Pottiales; Pottiaceae.
CGGUAGACGCUACGGACUUAAAUAAUUUGAGCUUUAGUAGAAAAACUUAUUAAAUGCUAGCUUUCAGAUUCAGGGAAACUCAGGUUGAAAAAAGUAUAAGCAAUCCUGAGCCAAAUUUUAUUUCAAAAGUAAAAUAGGUGCAGAGACUCAAUGGAAGCUAUCCUAACGCAAAAAGUUUUAAGAUUUAUUUAAUGAAAAUUUAUAAAUUAAUAGAAAUAAAAUAAAAUUUUCAUUAAAACUCUCUUUUUAAAUAGCAAGCGAGGAUAAAGAUAGAGUCCAAUUUUACAUGUUAAUUUUAGCAACAAUUUAAAUUGUAGUAAAAAGAAAAUCCGUUGGCUUUAUUGACCGUGAGGGUUCAAGUCCCUCUACCCCCAAAACUGUGAAAUUUUUUUAUUGACAUUUAUUGACAUAAGCUUCGAGUUUAUGUUAGGAUAGCUGAAACUGAUAAAAAGCCGGGAUAGCUCAGUUGGUAGAGCAGAGGACUGAAAAUCCUCGUGUCAC